AAAGGCGGAUUUAUCUGCCGCUCAAGGAUGGGCCUGCGGUGCAUUAACUAGUUGGUGAGAUAGUAGCUCACCAAGGCGACGAUGCAUAGCCGACCUGAGAGGGUGAUCGGCCACACUGGGACUGAGACACGGCCCAGACUCCUACGGGAGGCAGCAGUAGGGAAUCUUCCGCAAUGGACGCAAGUCUGACGGAGCAACGCCGCGUGAGUGAUGAAGGGUUUCGGCUCGUAAAACUCUGUUGUUAAGGAAGAAUACUUGAGGUAGUAACUGGCCUUGAGAUGACGGUA
Molecule: ribosomal RNA, 287 nt
Filed under: uncultured bacterium
Lineage: Bacteria
Description: partial 16S ribosomal RNA
Rfam family: Bacterial small subunit ribosomal RNA
Source: RNAcentral